RNAcentral lists this ribosomal RNA (978 nucleotides) under Triticum aestivum (bread wheat). Its description in RNAcentral is "partial small subunit ribosomal RNA". The record is from RNAcentral. Lineage: Eukaryota; Viridiplantae; Streptophyta; Magnoliopsida; Poales; Poaceae.
AUGCUUCAGACUCUUGAAAUGUUAGAAAAGAAGGAAAAUUUACUAAUGAAGAAGGCGAAUCUUGAAGUUGAGAAGGCAAAGGCGUUCACCAAAGCCAAGAACAAAAAAGCUGCAAUACAAUGUCUGAAGAGGAAGAGAUUAUAUGAGCAACAGGUGGAGCAGCUUGGGAAUUUCCAAUUGAGGAUUCAUGAUCAGAUGAUAAUGCUGGAAGGUGCAAAAGCUACAACAGAGACUGUGGAUGCAUUGAGAACCGGAGCAUCAGCAAUGAAAGCUAUGCACAAAUCAACAAAUAUUGAUGAUGUUGACAAAACCAUGGACGAAAUUAAUGACAACAUGGAGAACAUGCGGCAGAUCCAGGAUCUACUAUCUGCGCCUAUGGGAGCAGCAAGUGAUUUCGAUGAAGAUGAGCUGGAAGCUGAACUUGCGGAUUUGGAGGGUGAGGAGUUGGAGGCACAGCUACUAGCACCUACCACAAGUGCUCCUAUGACUGCUCCAGCGCGUGUACCUCAGCAGUCGAGUCGGCCCACUGCGCAGAGCAGUAAAACUGAAGACGAUGAGCUGGCAGCUUUACAAGCUGAGAUGGCUAUGUAAUUAGUUUGCAGGACUUGGCGUGGUCAUGUUUAGAGACCAGAUUGUGCAAAUAUAUUUGGGACCACGGUAUUUUCAUGGAGGUCUUCCUGGGAAGACGUCAGAAGUACACACAGAAACUAGAUGCAUCUCACCCUGAUGGUCUCUUAUGUAUAUCUUAUCAUGUUACUUUUGUAAUCAAACAUCUAAGAUGCGCUGUCGAGCGCAUUAUCAGCUAAUAAAGGGCAUCUGCCAUCAUUGUAUAUUUCUAUAUAAAGUGAGUUAGUUGACCGACCACUCAACUUUUAUUUCCUACUACUAGCUAGCCUGUGCGUUGGAACGGGGGCACACACAUUUUAGUUGUUCGCGUCAGUUGUGUAUCACAUAUACCUAUUACCCACUAUCUCUGCC